This 468-nucleotide long non-coding RNA is filed under the name Elaeis guineensis (African oil palm). RNAcentral's name for it is "long non-coding RNA (EGUI_LNC073649)". Lineage: Eukaryota; Viridiplantae; Streptophyta; Magnoliopsida; Arecales; Arecaceae. The record is from RNAcentral.
UGAGGUUUUAUAGAUCCUCUGUCGAUUCAUUUCUAAAUUUAUUCAAUUUCUCUUUUUCUAAAUAGAGUCAAGGGGAAUGAAACUUUAGUCCCUCGAUUACCAUCUCAGUUUAUCAAUUUAAGGGUGCGUGGCUUGAGACCCUUCAUUAUUUUAUCCCGACCUUGUUGUGCAGCUAAGUAUAUAUGUACUCUUUGGAUGCUAUCAUUAGCUAAAAUAUGAUGUAAAUAAUAUAGCCAUUAAAAUUAUAAUACAUAUUUAUUGUUCAGAAGAAGCAUUUUUAAUAAUUUUCUACGUAUCAUUAAAAUUCUUUUAAUUAAAAAAAUCAUUUUCGCCGAUCACUUUCUAUAUGUCAUGACUAAAUUGAUAUUUUAGGUUAUAGCUUCAACAUAUUUGAGAAGUUUGAGAAAAAACAUGCUUUUUUUGACACUUUUUGUAAGGCUAUUAUUAAAACUUGUUGCAAAAUGCUCG